CCAUAGACUAAAUAUAUAUAGAUACGCCACUCCCCUGUUGGGGCUGGCGACACUACCGCCACGCCAAAAUUACACCUGGUGGCAAUUCACAGGUACUAAUUCUUUAUGUUGCCCUUAGGGAAUGUUCAAGAAAAGUUGUUUUCCCCAGUUUCAGUUCAAUUGGUUCGUUUGCAUCGUAGCAACAUUUGCUUUGCAAUCGUUGUUUAUUUUCUGUCAACAACAGCAGGGCUCCAAACAUUUGGAUAUUUUGAGUCAUCUUAGAAAAACCCGGUCCGUGCGGCUAUGACCACCCCAAAUCCCAUGUACGGAACCGAUUCUUUUGGUGGUUCACAUCGUGAGGCAUGAAGACAUGUCAGCAACCCCGGGUUGCCCUGCCAAGAUGAUUUGGCAUCCAUCCCGCCACAGCAAACGGAACCUGCGGUUCAACCGUAGCCAGCCGAAAAAAAUCUCCUGCAGCCACUGAUGCCAGCCCUAGUCUCGGAUACGUUAGUUCUGCGAAGCGCAGGUACAGUCCACCAUAAGUUAGCGGCCAUAACCCUGCCGGCGCAGCCUUUCUCCGUGCGAACAUUAUUGCAUCAAAGGCUUCACCAGGGCCUAGUUCCUCAAGGACCAGGUCGUGU
Culex pipiens pallens (northern house mosquito) is the source of this 620-nucleotide long non-coding RNA. RefSeq lists it as uncharacterized. Lineage: Eukaryota; Metazoa; Arthropoda; Insecta; Diptera; Culicidae. The record is from RefSeq and is a predicted model, not a curated record. The transcript is spliced from 2 exons.